Long non-coding RNA from Sapajus apella (tufted capuchin), 103 nucleotides. RefSeq lists it as uncharacterized. The transcript is spliced from 3 exons. NCBI's taxonomy places the organism in Eukaryota, Metazoa, Chordata, Mammalia, Primates, Cebidae. The record is from RefSeq and is a predicted model, not a curated record.
AUGAAUAUAAAAUAAUAUGCAUGAAUAUAAUAUACACGAUGUCUGGGCUUAAUGGGCUUACAUUCCAAGAAGGAAAAAACAAUAGUAAAUGAUAAGGAAAAUU